CCCAGAAUAGUGUCAUCAACUAUCCUAAUAAACAAUACAAAUGACAAACAAAUUAGGAGAUAACAUACACAAACCAAUAUUUAAACAGGGCCCAAUUAUCCCUCUUUGUUCUGUUUUUAAAAUGGUUUGACAUUUUACCUUGGGACAGUGCCAGGGCACUCUGGUACCAUAACCUCUACAGGGGACUAUAAUGGAUAUAUGAUGAUUUGGGUGUUCCUUUUAAGAACAUUUUAUUUACUUUAAAGAGUUCUUCAGUGAAGAAUAUUAGAGUGAGUCAAUAUAAAAUGUUCCUAGGUAUGUUGGUAAAAUAUCUUAAAUGUAUUAUAUAAUUCUUAAUAUGACAAAGGUAUAAUUAAUUAUGAACGUUAAUUACAGUCAUUUUAUAAAGAUGUGCUGCACACUAGUAAUAUAGUAAAAAUAGGUAAUUGUAUUGCAAAUUAUGUGAUAAUUACAUGCAAUACUUUUUGAGUCCUUUUCAUGUGAU
Pelobates cultripes (western spadefoot toad) is the source of this 484-nucleotide non-coding RNA. The record is from the annotation of a GenBank genome assembly. Lineage: Eukaryota; Metazoa; Chordata; Amphibia; Anura; Pelobatidae.